AGAGUGAACGCUGGCGGUAGGCCUAACACAUGCAAGUCGAACGGCAGCACAGUAGGAGCUUGCUCUUACGGGUGGCGAGUGGCGGACGGGUGAGGAAUACAUCGGAAUCUACCUUUUGGUGGGGGAUAACGUAGGGAAACUUACGCUAAUACCGCAUACGCCCUUCGGGGAAAGCCGGGACCAGCAAUGGCCUGGCGCUGAUAGAUGAGCCGAUGUCGGAUUAGCUAGUUGGUGAGGUAAUGGCUCACCAAGGCGACGAUCCGUAGCUGGUCUGAGAGAUGAUCAGCCACACGUGGAACUGAGACACGGUCCAGACCUCCGUACGGGAGCAGCAGGUGGGGAAUAGUUGGAACAAGUGGGACGACGAAGCCUAGACUCCGAGCCAUACCCGCGGUAGGGUA
This 401-nucleotide ribosomal RNA is filed under the name uncultured soil bacterium. Its description in RNAcentral is "bacterial SSU rRNA". It matches the Rfam family "Bacterial small subunit ribosomal RNA", at positions 26 to 409 of the family's 1533-position model. The record is from RNAcentral.